Molecule: ribosomal RNA, 488 nt
Filed under: uncultured Alphaproteobacteria bacterium
Lineage: Bacteria; Pseudomonadati; Pseudomonadota; Alphaproteobacteria
Description: bacterial SSU rRNA
Rfam family: Bacterial small subunit ribosomal RNA
Source: RNAcentral
UGCAGUCGAACGAAGUCUUCGGACUUAGUGGCGCACGGGUGAGUAACAUGUGGGAAUCUACCUAGAGGUUCGGAAUAACUACGGGAAACUGUAGCUAAUACCGGAUGUGUCUGCAAAGAGAAAGAUUUAUCGCCUUUAGAUGAGCCCGCACUGGAUUAGUUUGUUGGUGAGGUAAUUGCUCCACCAAGACUACGAUCUAUAGCUGAUUUGAGAGGAUGAUCAGCCACACUGGGACUGAGACACGGCCCAGACUCCUACGGGAGGCAGCAGUGGGGAAUAUUGGACAAUGGGGGAAACCCUGAUCCAGCAAUGCCGCGUGAGUGAAGAAGGCCUUCGGGUUGUAAAACUCUUUCAUCAACGAAGAUAAUGACAUUAAUUGAAGAAGAAGCUCCGGCUAACUCCGUGCCAGCAGCCGCGGUAAUACGGAGGGGGCUAGCGUUGUUCGGAAUCACUGGGCGUAAAGCGUAUGUAGGCGGAUCAAAAAGUUA